GAGGGAUGUAGAGAUGGAGGGAUGGAUGGAUACAGGGUUGGAUGGAGGGAGGGAUGGAGAGAUGGAUGGAGGGUUGUAUGGAGCAAUGGACGCAGGGUUGGAUGGAGGGAUGGAUGGACAGAGGGCUGGAUGGACAGAGGGAUGGAGGGAGGGAUGGAUGGAUGGAGGGAUGGAGGGAGGGAUGGAUGCAGGGUUGGAUGGACAGAUGGAUGGAUGGACAGAGGGAUGGAGGGAUGAAUGGAUGGACGGAGGGAUGGAGGAAUGGACUGAGGGAUGGAUGCAGGGAUGGAUGCAGGGAUGGAGGGAUGGACAGAGGGGUGGACAGAGGCAUGGACAGAGGGAUGGAUGGAGGGAUGGAUGGACAGAGGGAUGGAUGGACGGAGAGAUGGACGGAGGGAUGUAGAGAUGGAGGGAUGGAUGGAUACAGGGUUAGAGGGAGGGAUGGAGCGAUGGACGCAGGGUUGGAUGGAGGGAUGGACGGACAGAGGGAUGGAUGGACAGAAGGAUGGAUGGACAGAGGGAUGGAGGGAGGGAUGGAUGCAGGGUUGGAUGGAUGGACGGAUGGACGGAGGGAUGGAGGGACGGACGGAGGGAAGGAGGGACGGCCGGGUCCGUAUGCCGGCAGCGCGCUGACCCCUCUCCCCGGCAGCAGAGCUGCUCCUGCCCGAGGACCUCUGCCACGGCGCCCCCGAGCCGCUCAACGGGCCCUGGGACACCAUCGCCGUCUUCAUCACCCUCUUCCUCCUCAGCGUCUGCUACAGCGCCACCGUCACCCUCUGCAAGGUCAAGUGGCUGCUGACCACCGUGGUGCAGCUGAAGCAGGGCCCGGUGCUCGGCGCCAAGAGCGGCCUCCAGCCCAUCAUGUAGCCGCCGCCGCCACCGCCGCCGCCGUGUCCCCAGCGAGGCCACCACCAGCACCGCCACCACCAGCACCACCGCCACCAGCACGCCAGGAGGACGGGGCGAGAGGGGACGGACGCAAGGGAAGGAGAAGGGGUGGAUGGGUGCGAGGAUGCGUGGGGAGAUGGAGGGAUGGGUGCAAGGAUGGGUGCAAGGAUGCAUGGGAAGAAGGGAUGGAUGGAUGGAUGGAAAGGACAGAUGGAUGGUUGCACACGUGGGAAGGACGGAUGGAUGGUUGCACAGAGAGGAGGACGGAUGGAUGGUUGCACACGUGGGAAGGACGGAUGGAUGGUUGCAUGGAGAGGAGGAUGGAUGGAUGGUUGCACACAUAGGAAGGACGGAUGGAUGGUUGCACGGAGAGGAGGACGGAUGGAUGGUUGCACACAUAGGAAGGACGGAUGGAUGGUUGCACGGAGAGGAGGACGGAUGGAUGGUUGCACGCAUGGGAAGGACGGAUGGAUGGUUGCACGGAGAGGAGGACGGAUGGAUGGUUGCACGCAUGGGAAGGACGGAUGGAUGGUUGCACGGAGAGGAGGACGGAUGGAUGGUUGCACGCAUGGGAAGGACGGAUGGAUGGUUGCACGGAGAGGAGGACGGAUGGAUGGUUGCACGCAUGGGAAGGACGGAUGGAUGGUUGCACGGAGAGGAGGACRGAUGGAUGGUUGCACAGAGAGGAUGAUGGAUGGAUGGUUGCACACAUAGGAAGGACGGAUGGAUGGUUGCACACGUGGAAAGGACGGAUGGAUGGUUGCACGGAGAGGAGGAUGGAUGGAUGGUUGCACACAUAAGAAGGACGGAUGGAUGGUUGCACGGAGAGGAGGACGGAUGGAUGGUUGCACGCACGGACAGAAAGAGCCCCGGGACGGACGGACAGACGCCUGGCGGAGCAGAGCCCAGCCCCCCCCCCCUCCCAGUGGCUCGCUGGGGCCCUGCGGAGGUGGAAGCAGAUGUUUCCUCAGCCCGCGGCUCCCACGGCUCCCCGGGGACAAAGCCGGCCCCUGUCACGAGUUGGCCCGGCCCCGGGGACGGGCGCACGGGUGGGGGGGGGGGAGGGCUCAUCGUGGGGUGGGGGAGGGAUGGAGGUGGACGCCAGGUCACACGGGGACCCGUCACCCAAGGUGGACACCGGGUCACCCGAGGUGGACCUUGGUCACCAAGUCAACGCAGGUGGACGUUAGGUCAAACCAGGCGGACCUCGGGCACCAGGUCACCUAAAGGAGACACUGGCCACCAGAUCAGCCCCCAGAUGGACCGUGGCCACCAGGUCAAACCAGGGGGGGGGACGUUGGUCACCAGGUCCCCCAAGGUGGACACUGGCCACCGGGUCACCCA
RNAcentral lists this long non-coding RNA (2232 nucleotides) under Apteryx owenii (little spotted kiwi). RNAcentral describes it as "lncRNA (ENSAOWG00000013809.1)". Lineage: Eukaryota; Metazoa; Chordata; Aves; Apterygiformes; Apterygidae. The record is from RNAcentral.